GCAAUGGUGGUUCAGUGGUAGAAUUCUCGCUUUCCAUGGGGGAGAGCCAGGUUUGAUUUCUGGCCAAUGCA
RNAcentral lists this transfer RNA (71 nucleotides) under Loxodonta africana (African savanna elephant). It matches the Rfam family "tRNA". Rfam says of the family: Transfer RNA (tRNA) molecules are approximately 80 nucleotides in length. Their secondary structure includes four short double-helical elements and three loops (D, anti-codon, and T loops). Lineage: Eukaryota; Metazoa; Chordata; Mammalia; Proboscidea; Elephantidae. The record is from Rfam by way of RNAcentral.